UACGAAGGGGGCUAGCGUUGUUCGGAAUUACUGGGCGUAAAGCGCGUGUAGGCGGGUCUUUAAGUCAGGGGUGAAAUGGCAAGGCUCAACCUUGGAACUGCCUUUGAUACUGGAGAUCUUGAGUCCGGGAGAGGUGAGUGGAACUGCGAGUGUAGAGGUGAAAUUCGUAGAUAUUCGCAAGAACACCAGUGGCGAAGGCGGCUCACUGGCCCGGAACUGACGCUGAGACGCGAAAGCGUGGGGAGCAAACAGG
Molecule: ribosomal RNA, 253 nt
Filed under: uncultured bacterium
Lineage: Bacteria
Description: partial 16S ribosomal RNA
Rfam family: Bacterial small subunit ribosomal RNA
Source: RNAcentral